RNAcentral lists this ribosomal RNA (400 nucleotides) under uncultured bacterium. RNAcentral's name for it is "bacterial SSU rRNA". It matches the Rfam family "Bacterial small subunit ribosomal RNA", at positions 356 to 773 of the family's 1533-position model. The record is from RNAcentral.
GGGGAAUAUUGCACAAUGGGCGAAAGCCUGAUGCAGCAACGCCGCGUGAGUGAUGAAGGCCUUCGGGUUGUAAAGCUCUUUGACCAGGGAUGAUAAUGACAGUACCUGAAAAACAAGCCACGUCUAACUACGUGCCAGCAGCCGCGGUAAUACGUAGGUGGCUAGCGUUGUCCGGAAUUAUUGGGCGUAAAGGAUGCGUAGGUGGAUAUUUAAGUGGGAUGUGAAAUCCCCGGGCUCAACCCGGGAACUGCAUUCCAUACUGGAUGUCUAGAGUGCAGGAGAGGAAAGUGGAAUUCCUAGUGUAGCGGUGAAAUGCGUAGAUAUUAGGAGGAACACCAGUGGCGAAGGCGACUUUCUGGACUGUAACUGACACUGAGGCAUGAAAGCGUGGGUAGCAAAC